Molecule: ribosomal RNA, 253 nt
Filed under: uncultured bacterium
Lineage: Bacteria
Description: partial 16S ribosomal RNA
Rfam family: Bacterial small subunit ribosomal RNA
Source: RNAcentral
UACGAAGGGGGCUAGCGUUGUUCGGAAUUACUGGGCGUAAAGGGCGCGUAGGCGGUGUGUCAAGUCAGGCGUGAAAGCCCCGGGCUCAACCUGGGAAUUGCGGUUGAAACUGGCGAACUAGAAUCUGGCAGAGGGGGGUGGAAUUCCACGUGUAGCAGUGAAAUGCGUAGAGAUGUGGAGGAACACCGAUGGCGAAGGCAGCCCCCUGGGCUGAGAUUGACGCUCAGGCACGAAAGCGUGGGGAGCAAACAGG